UAAAAUCAAAACGGACUUGUGGAAUAUGAAGAACGUUUGCAUGGUUGGAAUACUUCAAGAAAUCUUGUAAGCAACAGUUUCUACAAAGUAAUGACUACACACUAGUCAAGGAGAGAGUAGAUAUGAAGCUGAUGCCAUAGAGAGACAACCUAAUGUCGAUAUUCUCCAAUGGUUUUGUAUCUUUUUAGUGUGAAUUACGGUAGAAAAAUAGAGAGCUAUGAGAAAAUCAAUGACAAUGAGGAAGGUUCCGUCUCGAGAGUUUAAAUAGAUAAGUUGUUGAAAUUUGUGGUGGAUUUUAUCUCCUUUUGAUAAAUUCUCAAGUGCUCUUUUGAGGGUCAUGCAUGAUGAUUACUUUCAUAAUUGUUUUGUAAUUUCUAUUAACAAGAAUUAUUCCAAACACUUCAAUUACCUUCCAGUAUCCAUGCAAUGAAACUAGAGUAUUAAAGAGAAUUUUUUGCUCUCUUCUUUCGAAUAAGAGAAGAACCAUGUAUCUAAAGUAGCCAACUAAACAAAUUUGAAAAUCACUAAUAGCAACUUUUUAUUUAACAAACUAAA
Molecule: long non-coding RNA, 555 nt
Organism: Cucurbita maxima (winter squash)
Lineage: Eukaryota; Viridiplantae; Streptophyta; Magnoliopsida; Cucurbitales; Cucurbitaceae
Exons: 3
Source: RefSeq, a predicted model, not a curated record